RNAcentral lists this ribosomal RNA (253 nucleotides) under uncultured bacterium. RNAcentral's name for it is "partial 16S ribosomal RNA". It matches the Rfam family "Bacterial small subunit ribosomal RNA", at positions 524 to 776 of the family's 1533-position model. The record is from RNAcentral.
UACGGAGGGGGCGAGCGUUAUUCGGAAUUAUUGGGCGUAAAGGGCGCGUAGGCGGUGCGGUAAGUCACCUGUGAAAUCUCCUGGCUCAACUGGGAGCUUGCAGGCGAAACUGCCGUGCUGGAGUGUGGGAGAGGUGCGUGGAAUUCCUGGUGUAGCGGUGAAAUGCGUAGAUAUCGGGAGGAACACCAGUGGCGAAGGCGAUCACCUGGGGUUGUUCUGACGCUGAGGAGCGAAAGCUAGGGGAGCAAACGGG